This 25-nucleotide non-coding RNA is filed under the name Cricetulus griseus (Chinese hamster). Lineage: Eukaryota; Metazoa; Chordata; Mammalia; Rodentia; Cricetidae. The record is from RNAcentral.
AGCACUGACUUUGUAGAAAAACAUA